AAAUUGAAGAGUUUGAUCAUGGCUCAGAUUGAACGCUGGCGGCAGGCCUAACACAUGCAAGUCGAACGGUAACAGGAAGCAGCUUGCUGCUUUGCUGACGAGUGGCGGACGGGUGAGUAAUGUCUGGGAAACUGCCUGAUGGAGGGGGAUAACUACUGGAAACGGUAGCUAAUACCGCAUAACGUCGCAAGACCAAAGAGGGGGACCUUAGGGCCUCUUGCCAUCGGAUGUGCCCAGAUGGGAUUAGCUAGUAGGUGGGGUAACGGCUCACCUAGGCGACGAUCCCUAGCUGGUCUGAGAGGAUGACCAGCCACACUGGAACUGAGACACGGUCCAGACUCCUACGGGAGGCAGCAGUGGGGAAUAUUGCACAAUGGGCGCAAGCCUGAUGCAGCCAUGCCGCGUGUAUGAAGAAGGCCUUCGGGUUGUAAAGUACUUUCAGCGGGGAGGAAGGGAGUAAAG
RNAcentral lists this ribosomal RNA (462 nucleotides) under Escherichia coli. RNAcentral's name for it is "bacterial SSU rRNA". It matches the Rfam family "Bacterial small subunit ribosomal RNA", at positions 1 to 459 of the family's 1533-position model. The record is from RNAcentral. Lineage: Bacteria; Pseudomonadati; Pseudomonadota; Gammaproteobacteria; Enterobacterales; Enterobacteriaceae.